This 465-nucleotide ribosomal RNA is filed under the name Vreelandella stevensii. RNAcentral describes it as "partial 16S ribosomal RNA". It matches the Rfam family "Bacterial small subunit ribosomal RNA", at positions 338 to 795 of the family's 1533-position model. Lineage: Bacteria; Pseudomonadati; Pseudomonadota; Gammaproteobacteria; Oceanospirillales; Halomonadaceae. The record is from RNAcentral.
CCUACGGGUGGCUGCAGUGGGGAAUAUUGGACAAUGGGCGAAAGCCUGAUCCAGCCAUGCCGCGUGUGUGAAGAAGGCCUUCGGGUUGUAAAGCACUUUCAGUGGGGAAGAAAGCCUUGGGGCUAAUACCCUCGAGGAAGGACAUCACCCACAGAAGAAGCACCGGCUAACUCCGUGCCAGCAGCCGCGGUAAUACGGAGGGUGCGAGCGUUAAUCGGAAUUACUGGGCGUAAAGCGCGCGUAGGCGGUCUGAUAAGCCGGUUGUGAAAGCCCCGGGCUCAACCUGGGAACGGCAUCCGGAACUGUCAGGCUGGAGUGCAGGGGAGGAAGGUAGAAUUCCCGGUGUAGCGGUGAAAUGCGUAGAGAUCGGGAGGAAUACCAGUGGCGAAGGCGGCCUUCUGGACUGACACUGACGCUGAGGUGCGAAAGCGUGGGUAGCAAACAGGAUUAGAUACCCCUGUAGUC